AAGUCGUAACAAGGUUUCCGUAGGUGAACCUGCGGAAGGAUCAUUAUCGAGUUUUGAACGGGUUGUAGCUGGCCUUUAACGAGGCAUGUGCACACCUGGCUCAUCCACUCUCAACCUCUGUGCACUUUAUGUAAGAAACGGUGUAAGCCAGCUAUUUAAUAGUUGGUAAUAAGCCUUUCUUAUGUUUACUACAAACGCUUCAGUUAUAGAAUGUUUACUGUGUAUAACACAAUUAUAUACAACUUUCAGCAACGGAUCUCUUGGCUCUC
RNAcentral lists this unclassified non-coding RNA (269 nucleotides) under Irpex laceratus. Its description in RNAcentral is "Emmia lacerata partial internal transcribed spacer region". The stretch from base 1 to 46 matches the Rfam family "Eukaryotic small subunit ribosomal RNA", at positions 1786 to 1831 of the family's 1831-position model. The record is from RNAcentral. Lineage: Eukaryota; Fungi; Basidiomycota; Agaricomycetes; Polyporales; Irpicaceae.